Molecule: ribosomal RNA, 490 nt
Filed under: uncultured bacterium
Lineage: Bacteria
Description: partial 16S ribosomal RNA
Rfam family: Bacterial small subunit ribosomal RNA
Source: RNAcentral
GAUGAACGCUAGCUACAGGCUUAACACAUGCAAGUCGAGGGGAAACGAUGAGAGAGCUUGCUCUCUUAGGCGUCGACCGGCGCACGGGUGAGUAACGCGUAUCCAACCUACCCAUUACAGGGGGAUAACCUUGCGAAAGUAAGACUAAUACCCCAUGGCAUUUUAUGGUGGCAUCAUUAUAGGAUUAAAGAUUUAUUGGUAAUGGAUGGGGAUGCGUCUGAUUAGCUUGUUGGCGGGGUAACGGCCCACCAAGGCAACGAUCAGUAGGGGUUCUGAGAGGAAGGUCCCCCACAUUGGAACUGAGACACGGUCCAAACUCCUACGGGAGGCAGCAGUGAGGAAUAUUGGUCAAUGGGCGAGAGCUUGAACCAGCCAAGUAGCGUGCAGGAUGACGGCCCUAUGGGUUGUAAACUGCUUUUAUAGGGGAAUAAAGUGAGCUACGUGUAGUUUAUUGCAUGUACCCUAUGAAUAAGGACCGACUAAUUCCGUG